GAUGAACGCUGGCGGCGUGCUUAACACAUGCAAGUCGAACGGAAAGGCUCCUGCUUGCAGGGGUACUCGAGUGGCGAACGGGUGAGUAACACGUGGGUGAUCUGCCCUGCACUUCGGGAUAAGCCUGGGAAACUGGGUCUAAUACCGGAUAGGACGAUGGUUUGGAUGCCAUUGUGGAAAGUUUUUCGGUGUGGGAUGAGCUCGCGGCCUAUCAGCUUGUUGGUGGGGUAAUGGCCUACCAAGGCGUCGACGGGUAGCCGGCCUGAGAGGGUGUACGGCCAAAUUGGGACUGAGAUACGGCCCAGACUCCUACGGGAGGCAGCAGUGGGGAAUAUUGCACAAUGGGCGCAAGCCUGAUGCAGCGACGCCGCGUGGGGGAUGACGGCCUUCGGGUUGUAAACUCCUUUCGCUAGGGACGAAGCGCAAGUGACGGUACCUGGAGAAGAAGCACCGGCUAACUACGUG
This 465-nucleotide ribosomal RNA is filed under the name uncultured bacterium. RNAcentral's name for it is "partial 16S ribosomal RNA". It matches the Rfam family "Bacterial small subunit ribosomal RNA", at positions 28 to 507 of the family's 1533-position model. The record is from RNAcentral.